AUAGGGUCAAGUGAAUAAGUGCAUCAGGCGGAUGCCUUGGCGAUGAUAGGCGACGAAGGACGUGUAAGCCUGCGAAAAGCGCGGGGGAGCUGGCAAUAAAGCUAUGAUUCCGCGAUGUCCGAAUGGGGAAACCCACUGCAUUCUGUGCAGUAUCCUAAGUUGAAUACAUAGGCUUAGAGAAGCGAACCCGGAGAACUGAACCAUCUAAGUACCCGGAGGAAAAGAAAUCAACCGAGAUUCCGCAAGUAGUGGCGAGCGAACGCGGAGGAGCCUGUACGUAAUAACUGUCGAGAUAGAAGAACAAGCUGGGAAGCUUGACCAUAGCGGGUGACAGUCCCGUAUUCGAAAUCUCAACAGCGGUACUAAGCGUACGAAAAGUAGGGCGGGACACGUGAAAUCCUGUCUGAAUAUGGGGGGACCAUCCUCCAAGGCUAAAUACUCAUCAUCGACCGAUAGUGAACCAGUACCGUGAGGGAAAGGCGAAAAGAACCCCGGGAGGGGAGUGAAACAGAACCUGAAACCUGAUGCAUACAAACAGUGGGAGCGCCCUAGUGGUGUGACUGCGUACCUUUUGUAUAAUGGGUCAACGACUUACAUUCAGUAGCGAGCUUAACCGGAUAGGGGAGGCGUAGGGAAACCGAGUCUUAAUAGGGCGAUGAGUUGCUGGGUGUAGACCCGAAACCGAGUGAUCUAUCCAUGGCCAGGUUGAAGGUGCCGUAACAGGUACUGGAGGACCGAACCCACGCAUGUUGCAAAAUGCGGGGAUGAGCUGUGGGUAGGGGUGAAAGGCUAAACAAACUCGGAGAUAGCUGGUUCUCCCCGAAAACUAUUUAGGUAGUGCCUCGAGCAAGACACUGAUGGGGGUAAAGCACUGUUAUGGCUAGGGGGGUAUUGCAACUUACCAACCCAUGGCAAACUCAGAAUACCAUCAAGUGGUUCCUCGGGAGACAGACAGCGGGUGCUAACGUCCGUUGUCAAGAGGGAAACAACCCAGACCGCCGGCUAAGGUCCCAAAUGAUAGAUUAAGUGGUAAACGAAGUGGGAAGGCACAGACAGCCAGGAUGUUGGCUUAGAAGCAGCCAUCAUUUAAAGAAAGCGUAAUAGCUCACUGGUCGAGUCGUCCUGCGCGGAAGAUGUAACGGGGCUCAAAUCUAUAACCGAAGCUGCGGAUGCCGGUUUACCGGCAUGGUAGGGGAGCGUUCUGUAGGCUGAUGAAGGUGCAUUGUAAAGUGUGCUGGAGGUAUCAGAAGUGCGAAUGUUGACAUGAGUAGCGAUAAAGCGGGUGAAAAGCCCGCUCGCCGAAAGCCCAAGGUUUCCUACGCAACGUUCAUCGGCGUAGGGUAAGUCGGCCCCUAAGGCGAGGCAGAAAUGCGUAGUCGAUGGGAAACAGGUUAAUAUUCCUGUACUUGAUUCAAAUGCGAUGUGGGGACGGAGAAGGUUAGGUUGGCAAGCUGUUGGAAUAGCUUGUUUAAGCCGGUAGGUGGAAGACUUAGGCAAAUCCGGGUUUUCUUAACACCGAGAAGUGAUGACGAGUGUCUACGGACACGAAGCAACCGAUACCACGCUUCCAGGAAAAGCCACUAAGCUUCAGUUUGAAUCGAACCGUACCGCAAACCGACACAGGUGGGCAGGAUGAGAAUUCUAAGGCGCUUGAGAGAACUCGGGAGAAGGAACUCGGCAAAUUGAUACCGUAACUUCGGGAGAAGGUAUGCCCUCUAAGGUUAAGGACUUGCUCCGUAAGCCCCGGAGGGUCGCAGAGAAUAGGUGGCUGCGACUGUUUAUUAAAAACACAGCACUCUGCCAACACGAAAGUGGACGUAUAGGGUGUGACGCCUGCCCGGUGCCGGAAGGUUAAUUGAAGAUGUGCAAGCAUCGGAUCGAAGCCCCGGUAAACGGCGGCCGUAACUAUAACGGUCCUAAGGUAGCGAAAUUCCUUGUCGGGUAAGUUCCGACCCGCACGAAUGGCGUAACGAUGGCCACACUGUCUCCUCCCGAGACUCAGCGAAGUUGAAGUGGUUGUGAAGAUGCAAUCUACCCGCUGCUAGACGGAAAGACCCCGUGAACCUUUACUGUAGCUUUGCAUUGGACUUUGAAGUCACUUGUGUAGGAUAGGUGGGAGGCUUGGAAGCAGAGACGCCAGUCUCUGUGGAGUCGUCCUUGAAAUACCACCCUGGUGUCUUUGAGGUUCUAACCCAGACCCGUCAUCCGGGUCGGGGACCGUGCAUGGUAGGCAGUUUGACUGGGGCGGUCUCCUCCCAAAGCGUAACGGAGGAGUUCGAAGGUUACCUAGGUCCGGUCGGAAAUCGGACUGAUAGUGCAAUGGCAAAAGGUAGCUUAACUGCGAGACCGACAAGUCGGGCAGGUGCGAAAGCAGGACAUAGUGAUCCGGUGGUUCUGUAUGGAAGGGCCAUCGCUCAACGGAUAAAAGGUACUCCGGGGAUAACAGGCUGAUUCCGCCCAAGAGUUCAUAUCGACGGCGGAGUUUGGCACCUCGAUGUCGGCUCAUCACAUCCUGGGGCUGUAGUCGGUCCCAAGGGUAUGGCUGUUCGCCAUUUAAAGUGGUACGUGAGCUGGGUUUAAAACGUCGUGAGACAGUUUGGUCCCUAUCUGCAGUGGGCGUUGGAAGUUUGACGGGGGCUGCUCCUAGUACGAGAGGACCGGAGUGGACGAACCUCUGGUGUACCGGUUGUAACGCCAGUUGCAUAGCCGGGUAGCUAAGUUCGGAAGAGAUAAGCGCUGAAAGCAUCUAAGCGCGAAACUCGCCUGAAGAUGAGACUUCCCUUGCGGUUUAACCGCACUAAAGGGUCGUUCGAGACCAGGACGUUGAUAGGUGGGGUGUGGAAGCGCGGUAACGCGUGAAGCUAACCCAUACUAAUUGCCCGUGAGGCUUGACUCUAU
Molecule: ribosomal RNA, 2898 nt
Filed under: Neisseria gonorrhoeae SK16942
Lineage: Bacteria; Pseudomonadati; Pseudomonadota; Betaproteobacteria; Neisseriales; Neisseriaceae
Description: bacterial LSU rRNA
Rfam family: Bacterial large subunit ribosomal RNA
Source: RNAcentral